ACGCUUUGCCUGCCUCUGUGAGUCUAGCAGGUGCAUGUGUGUGUCCUCCUAACCCACUCACGGAAGUGGAUGGACACUUCUGAUGCUUUUACUCACAGUUCAGAGCUCUGACCCAGAUUUAUGGCAUGGAUCAUUGCAAUAAAAAAGACUCCCAGAUGCAGACAAAGCACGGUGUGGGGAAUUUGCUCAUAGGCGCCUGGGAAUCUGGCCAACUUCUUUCCAUCCCCUGUCGGAGGUGCAACAGUCCUCUACCGCCAUCAGCCAGAAAUUCAUAAGGAAGAUAUUCAAGGAGACUUCCUUUCAUCAGUGUGAUGCCUCAUUACGGAGGAAUGUUCCUGAAUGGUGCAGUGGGGUGAACAAUUUGCACAGCAUUCACUCCCAUGAGUGGAAAACACGCGGGUAGAAUUGGAAUUAUGUGAGAAGGACUGUAUUUUCCUCAAGCAACUGGAGGAAGAAAUGUUCCCAAGUCCAAAUGCCAGCACCGACACAACAGUAGCCCUGGGCCUGGGAGCUUGCAGAGUGCACCCAAGCGGUAGAUGACUCUCCCUCCAGCCCCCGGCCUGGUGGCUCCAGGUGACCCUCGGCUGCAGCCGUACACAGACGCCUGAUCCAGAGCUGCGAGGCCAGGCCUGGUGCCUCCUGGUGUGUGCCUGACUCUGAGCCUCAGCACCAGGGUGGUGACAACCCCUCUGUGUCUCUGGGUCCUUCGGGAAGUGGGGAAGCCCGGGAGAGAUGAAGGGGUCUGGCGGGGAGCAGGUUGGGGAAGAGCCCCAGAGCACAGAGCAGAUCCGAACUCAGUAAAAAGGAAAUCGGAGCCACCGACAGGGAGAUGGACAGCGUUCCAGCAACUUCCCUACAUGGAAACGGUGAUGGCUGUGUCACUGUCCCCAAGUCCUGCAGCUUGCCUCUGAGCACCAACCACUUGAAUCCGUGAUUGAUGAAUGGAAUGAAUAGAACCCAAUCAGGCAUGGCUAUGCCCACAGUGCUGUGCUCAACAACAGCUGUUCCGCGUAGUAAUUACGUGAGGGCACUAACGUCACGGGGAGAGUGCCCAGCUGUCGGUACUGCGGCGGGAGAGCUAGCCGGCUCCCUGAGCCUCUUCCUAGCAGACCCCCCAACUUCAUACCUCACCUCCUCCACUGGGGCAUCCAGGAGGUGAUCCGUUUCCAGGCUUAUCCGGUCCCAGAGCACACAGACGUCCCAGGAAGCUGCUCUGGACCGUGUGGCAGGUUCUCUCAAGUAAUGGAUAAUGUGAUAUAGUCUGUUUGCUUGUUUUGUUAGUGACGUCCUGACCUAGACUAAGGCCUUGGUUAUGGGGGGUGGGGGGUGGGGGGCUUCCCUGCUUGAGUCGCUGAUUAAGUUUCACCCCCAACCCCUUCCUGUAUGGGGCUCUCCAAGCCACAGUGCACCCCCCUAAGUCCCUGGGGCCAUGUACCAAGUCACUUGAGACAGGCCCUAUGCCCCAGAGCCUGCAAAAUUAUUCACAUUGCCGGUGCACAGGGAGCCCACAAAACCUAGCUCCUCCUCUCCCCCGUUGGCUGUGCAUGAGCUGCCCCUUCAGUGCCAGCUUCAGGUUACCUGUGCUAGGUCCCUGGGCGGCCCUGCCCGGCACUGUAAGAAGCAGGAGUUCUACCUUUGACCUAUCCAAGUGUCAUUGCCUGGUGUCCUGCCAUCAAAAGAAUCUUGGAAUCUCACAAACAUUUGGGGUGAGGUGGGACAUCUGCGCUCUGGCUGGCCUGCGGCUGUUCCCCUGCCAUGUGCCCGGGUCAUUCCUCAUCCUGACUCCCCAGUUCCUUCUAUACUCCUCAUGCAGAAUCGGGAAAGCCCAGUGGUGACUCCUGGCACCCCGGGCGCCAGUCCUCAUGCCUCCCGUGCUUGUCCCUGCCUCUCUGGGCUCCUCUCCCUCCCCCAAGAGAGGGAGUCAAUCAUCACUCCCCCAUCAGGAGCUGCCAGGAGAGCAGGUGCAGCCGCACAUUGCAGUUGCUCACUAUAGCAGCCACCACUGUGAUCAGAAACCCUGUAAGGCAUCCCAGGGACACUUGAGUGCUCAAUGCUCACCCCCCUCUCAACACACACAUACACACACACACACACACACACACACACGGGCGGGGAGGCACUGGACACAGGACACAGAAGCCAGAUGCUUCCAUUUGGGGUUCUCUGUGGGGGAAGGAGGACAAACAUGGUUUGGGCUCAGGCCCUGUGUUCUCAAUCAGAACUAGCUUGGAAAAAAAAAGAACCAGCUUGGGCCUCUUAACUUAUGUCUCCAGAAAGCUACACAUCCAAGGACAGGGCCUCACUGACAGGACUGAGCAAAACAGACCAUCAUCACACCGCUGGAGACUCCCAUCUGCUUCUCCUGUAUGGCUCUGGGAAUGACGUUCCUCAAUCCUGCAUUUUGUGAAUUA
Canis lupus familiaris (dog) is the source of this 2411-nucleotide long non-coding RNA. RefSeq lists it as uncharacterized. NCBI's taxonomy places the organism in Eukaryota, Metazoa, Chordata, Mammalia, Carnivora, Canidae. The transcript has 3 exons. The record is from RefSeq and is a predicted model, not a curated record.